RNAcentral lists this long non-coding RNA (622 nucleotides) under Danio rerio (zebrafish). RNAcentral describes it as "lncRNA si:ch211-274e20.4 (ENSDARG00000105526.2)". Lineage: Eukaryota; Metazoa; Chordata; Actinopteri; Cypriniformes; Danionidae. The record is from RNAcentral.
UAAUGGACGACACGGAUGACAAGGAAAGUGCCAUCGUACAUCCUCUGGGUGUCUUGAGGAGCUGGUCUUUGGAUAAUGCUGAGCAGGUCUUUCUUUCUGGUAAAGAUUAUCAUUACAGUGAAGUAAAAGAAUUUAACAGACAGAUUGACAAACAACUGACGAAAGAAGAGAGACGAUUCAAUAGGGGUUGCCACAGCAGAAUGAACCGCCAACUUAUGCAGCAUAUGUUUUACACAGCGGAUGCCCUUCCAGCUGCAACCCAGUACUGGGAAACACCCAUUUACACUCAUACACUUGAACAUGGGGAGAACCUGCAAACUCCACACAGAAAUGACCACUGGCCCAGCCGGGGCUUGAACCAGCAACCUUCUUGCUGUGAGGCGACGGUGCUAACCACUGUGCUGCCCUAUGUGCUCUAUGCGGAGGCCUCUAGAGAUCGUGACCUGUGAAGAGAUGAUGCCACCAUAGAGGACUUCUAAAUGUAUCCAUAAUCCUGAAACAGACCGUAUCAUGAGCAGAUGCUGUGGUGGUCAUGGAGAAGUGGAGAGCAUGAGACUGAUUAAUGAAAGACCCCAGUGACAGAUGAGUGCCCACAUUGACCCUGUGGUCCAGCCUGAAAACC